AUUGAACGCUGGCGGCAUGCCUUACACAUGCAAGUCGAACGGCAGCACGGGGGCAAUCCUGGUGGCGAGUGGCGAACGGGUGAGUAAUAUAUCGGAACGUGCCCAGUCGUGGGGGAUAACGUAGCGAAAGCUACGCUAAUACCGCAUACGAUCUAUGGAUGAAAGCGGGGGAUCGCAAGACCUCGCGCGAUUGGAGCGGCCGAUAUCAGAUUAGGUAGUUGGUGAGGUAAAGGCUCACCAAGCCGACGAUCUGUAGCUGGUCUGAGAGGACGACCAGCCACACUGGGACUGAGACACGGCCCAGACUCCUACGGGAGGCAGCAGUGGGAAUUUGGACAAUGGGCGCAAGCCUGAUCCAGCAAUGCCGCGUGCAGGAUGAAGGCCUU
This 386-nucleotide ribosomal RNA is filed under the name uncultured bacterium. RNAcentral describes it as "bacterial SSU rRNA". It matches the Rfam family "Bacterial small subunit ribosomal RNA", at positions 30 to 418 of the family's 1533-position model. The record is from RNAcentral.